GGGUUGUGAGGUUAAGCGACUAAGCGUACACGGUGGAUGCCUAGGCAGUCAGAGGCGAUGAAGGGCGUGCUAAUCUGCGAAAAGCGUCGGUAAGCUGAUAUGAAGCGUUAUAACCGACGAUACCCGAAUGGGGAAACCCAGUGCAAUACGUUGCACUAUCGUUAGAUGAAUACAUAGUCUAACGAGGCGAACCGGGGGAACUGAAACAUCUAAGUACCCCGAGGAAAAGAAAUCAACCGAGAUUCCCCCAGUAGCGGCGAGCGAACGGGGAGGAGCCCAGAGUCUGAAUCAGUUUGUGUGUUAGUGGAAGCGUCUGGAAAGUCGCACGGUACAGGGUGAUAGUCCCGUACACCAAAUGCACAGGCUGUGAACUCGAUGAGUAGGGCGGGACACGUGACAUCCUGUCUGAAUAUGGGGGGACCAUCCUCCAAGGCUAAAUACUCCUGACUGACCGAUAGUGAACCAGUACCGUGAGGGAAAGGCGAAAGAACCCCGGCGAGGGGAGUGAAAUAGAACCUGAAACCGUGUACGUACAAGCAGUGGGAGCACCUUCGUGGUGUGACUGCGUACCUUUUGUAUAAUGGGUCAGCGACUUAUAUUUUGUAGCAAGGUUAACCGAAUAGGGGAGCCGUAGGGAAACCGAGUCUUAACUGGGCGUCUAGUUGCAAGGUAUAGACCCGAAACCCGGUGAUCUAGCCAUGGGCAGGUUGAAGGUUGGGUAACACUAACUGGAGGACCGAACCGACUAAUGUUGAAAAAUUAGCGGAUGACUUGUGGCUGGGGGUGAAAGGCCAAUCAAACCGGGAGAUAGCUGGUUCUCCCCGAAAGCUAUUUAGGUAGCGCCUCGUGAACUCAUCUUCGGGGGUAGAGCACUGUUUCGGCUAGGGGGCCAUCCCGGCUUACCAAACCGAUGCAAACUCCGAAUACCGAAGAAUGUUAUCACGGGAGACACACGGCGGGUGCUAACGUCCGUCGUGAAGAGGGAAACAACCCAGACCGCCAGCUAAGGUCCCAAAGUCAUGGUUAAGUGGGAAACGAUGUGGGAAGGCACAGACAGCCAGGAUGUUGGCUUAGAAGCAGCCAUCAUUUAAAGAAAGCGUAAUAGCUCACUGGUCGAGUCGGCCUGCGCGGAAGAUGUAACGGGGCUAAACCAUGCACCGAAGCUGCGGCAGCGACACUUAGGUGUUGUUGGGUAGGGGAGCGUUCUGUAAGCCGUUGAAGGUGACCUGUGAGGGUUGCUGGAGGUAUCAGAAGUGCGAAUGCUGACAUAAGUAACGAUAAUGCGGGUGAAAAACCCGCACGCCGGAAGACCAAGGGUUCCUGUCCAACGUUAAUCGGGGCAGGGUGAGUCGACCCCUAAGGCGAGGCUGAAAAGCGUAGUCGAUGGGAAACAGGUUAAUAUUCCUGUACUUGGUGUUACUGCGAAGGGGGGACGGAGAAGGCUAGGCUGGCCGGGCGACGGUUGUCCCGGUUUAAGCGUGUAGGGGGAGUGACCAGGUAAAUCCGGUUGCUUAUCAACCCUGAGGCGUGAUGACGAUGCACCACGGUGCAGAAGCAGUUGAUGCCAUGCUUCCAGGAAAAGCCUCUAAGCAUCAGGUAACAUUAAAUCGUACCCCAAACCGACACAGGUGGUCAGGUAGAGAAUACUCAGGCGCUUGAGAGAACUCGGGUGAAGGAACUAGGCAAAAUGGUGCCGUAACUUCGGGAGAAGGCACGCUGGCGUUAGGUGAAAGGACUAGCUCCUGGAGCUGAAGCCAGUCGCAGAUACCAGCUGGCUGCAACUGUUUAAUAAAAACACAGCACUGUGCAAACACGAAAGUGGACGUAUACAGUGUGACGCCUGCCCGGUGCUGGAAGGUUAAUUGAUGGGGUCAGCCGCAAGGCGAAGCUCUUGAUCGAAGCCCCAGUAAACGGCGGCCGUAACUAUAACGGUCCUAAGGUAGCGAAAUUCCUUGUCGGGUAAGUUCCGACCUGCACGAAUGGCGUAAUGAUGGCCAGGCUGUCUCCACCCGAGACUCAGUGAAAUUGAACUCGCUGUGAAGAUGCAGUGUACCCGCGGCAAGACGGAAAGACCCCGUGAACCUUUACUAUAGCUUGACACUGAACAUUGAGCCUUGAUGUGUAGGAUAGGUGGGAGGCCUUGAAGUGUGGACGCCAGUCUGCAUGGAGCCAACCUUGAAAUACCACCCUUUAAUGUUUGAUGUUCUAACUCGGCCCCAUGAUCUGGGGUGAGGACAGUGUCUGGUGGGUAGUUUGACUGGGGCGGUCUCCUCCCAAAGAGUAACGGAGGAGCACGAAGGUUAGCUAAUCACGGUCGGACAUCGUGAGGUUAGUGCAAAGGCAUAAGCUAGCUUGACUGCGAGAGUGACGGCUCGAGCAGGUACGAAAGUAGGUCUUAGUGAUCCGGUGGUUCUGAAUGGAAGGGCCAUCGCUCAACGGAUAAAAGGUACUCCGGGGAUAACAGGCUGAUACCGCCCAAGAGUUCAUAUCGACGGCGGUGUUUGGCACCUCGAUGUCGGCUCAUCACAUCCUGGGGCUGAAGUAGGUCCCAAGGGUAUGGCUGUUCGCCAUUUAAAGUGGUACGCGAGCUGGGUUUAGAACGUCGUGAGACAGUUCGGUCCCUAUCUGCCGUGGGCGUUGGAAGAUUGAGAGGGGCUGCUCCUAGUACGAGAGGACCGGAGUGGACGAAUCACUGGUGUUCGGGUUGUCAUGCCAAUGGCAUUGCCCGGUAGCUAAAUUCGGAAGAGAUAACCGCUGAAAGCAUCUAAGCGGGAAACUUGCCUCGAGAUGAGUCUUCCCUGGGGCUUAAAGCCCCUGAAGGAACGUUAAAGACUAUGACGUUGAUAGGCUGGGUGUGUAAGUGCAGCGAUGUAUUGAGCUAACCAGUACUAAUGAUCCGUGAGGCUUAACCUUACAACACCGAAGGUGUUU
RNAcentral lists this ribosomal RNA (2931 nucleotides) under Yersinia pestis. RNAcentral's name for it is "bacterial LSU rRNA". It matches the Rfam family "Bacterial large subunit ribosomal RNA". The record is from RNAcentral. Lineage: Bacteria; Pseudomonadati; Pseudomonadota; Gammaproteobacteria; Enterobacterales; Yersiniaceae.